CAGCCGCCGCGGGAAUACAGAGGGUGCGAGCGUUAAUCGGAUUUACUGGGCGUAAAGCGUGCGUAGGCGGCUUCUUAAGUCGGAUGUGAAAUCCCUGAGCUUAACUUAGGAAUUGCAUUCGAUACUGGGAAGCUAGAGUAUGGGAGAGGAUGGUAGAAUUCCAGGUGUAGCGGUGAAAUGCGUAGAGAUCUGGAGGAAUACCGAUGGCGAAGGCAGCCAUCUGGCCUAAUACUGACGCUGAGGUACGAAAGCGUGGGGAGCAAACAGGAUUAGAGACCCCAGUGUCCCUGUCUCUUAUACA
RNAcentral lists this ribosomal RNA (301 nucleotides) under uncultured bacterium. RNAcentral's name for it is "partial 16S ribosomal RNA". It matches the Rfam family "Bacterial small subunit ribosomal RNA", at positions 509 to 808 of the family's 1533-position model. The record is from RNAcentral.